AUGAAUCUCUUAAGUUGGAACUGCCGGGGAGGGGGGAAUACCCCGACGGUUCGUGAGCUAGCGACUCUUUGUCAGUCGCAUUCCCCCACUUUGGUGUUUUUGUGUGAAACAAGGCAGAAGGCGGACAAGUUGAAAAGAAUCCGAGCAAGGUUGGGUUUAAAGGGUUUUUGCAGCGUGGAUAGUAAUGGUAUGAGCGGCGGUUUGGCUCUAUAUUGGCAUGAAUCUUAUGAUGUCCAGAUCCUAGACAAGAAGGAAAGAUACAUUUGCCUUGGUGCGAGUUCAUCCGGAUGCUGA
This 294-nucleotide ribosomal RNA is filed under the name Triticum aestivum (bread wheat). RNAcentral's name for it is "partial small subunit ribosomal RNA". Lineage: Eukaryota; Viridiplantae; Streptophyta; Magnoliopsida; Poales; Poaceae. The record is from RNAcentral.